UGUAGAUCAUGGAAUUCCAAAACAACUAUAAAAUAUAUAGUAAUAUUACUAUUGAAAUGAGUUGAACAAACUAUAGUUAUUCGACAAAUUAUAUCAAUAUUGCACGAUCCAAAUCAUUUGCGAUGUUUGUGCUAUUGCUUAAAUAACGUACGAUCUACUGCAUGUGGUUAACAAAUGAGGACACACAGAAAACGUAGUGUACUGAUAUAUAAAUUUGAAGAGGACAUCGGGAAGUAUUAUCGUAAAUUAUUUCCGUUCAUUAUUUACUACAAUUUUAAAAAUAAAUCAUAUACAAUUUGUAUUCCGGAAGAAACUGCACGAAUAUGUUUGAAAAAGUAAUAAUAAAUGUAGGUGGUCAAAUAUUUAUUACUAAAAGGAGCACUCUUCAACGAUAUCCAGAUACAAAGUUAUCAAACGUCUCUGAAACCUGUGAACAUUUUGAUGAAACUACUGAAGUGUACUACUUUGAUAGGAAUCCAUUGAUAUUCCAAUCGGUACUAGACUAUUAUCGAACUGGAAAACUUCAUUUUCUGUCUAACAUCUGCGCAGAACAAAUUCGUGAUGAGCUUGAAUUUUGGGAAAUAUCAACCACUGAUCUUGGCACAUGUUGUUGGAAAUAUUUCUAUACCGUUGAUAGUGACUUGAAAACCUGCAAUGUUAUCGACAAAUACUUUUUUCAAAACAAGUGUUUUCUUUACAGUUCGAAAAGCCCUCUGAUAAAUAUCAAAAACAGGAUAUUGAAUGUACUGGAAAAUCCAAGGUCAUCGAAAGUUGCAUUAGUAAGUUUUUACUGUAGUUAAAAAUAAAGUUUGAGACAUUUUGUGGAUAAAUUUAACGAAAUAAAAACAAAAGUCAGAGGCUGGAACCUUGUAGUCGAUUUAUAGUCUUAAUAGUAUUCUUUGGAAUUCUUGUACUAUAACAAUAUAUCAAAAACAAUGUGGAGGUUGCUGUUCAGACAAUAAAAACACCUUCGUACCACUUAGAUAACAAAAACAAAUCUCAUUAUCAAAAAAUCAAGCGUAAUAGUUGUUACUUCUUGUUUAUAUUAUUUGGUGUAUUCUCCUGAUAAAUAUUUAGCCAACGCUACGUUUAUGUUUUUUUCUUAAUUGAUGCUUUACUACUACAGAUAAAAAAAAAAUACUCAAGUUUUUCAGUUACAUAUUUUUAACAUUAAAUUUAUUAUUAUAUUGUUUUUUAGGUAUGGCAGAUAUUUUACCUGAGUGUUGUGUGCCUAGCGAUACUUGUAUCAGUAAUACAAUCAUUUGAGUUGACUGGUAUAAAAACAAAGGAACAUAAAAAUGUUACAGCAGAGGAAAGCAUGACAGAACGUCUAACUGAUCACGACAACUGGAUUGGCGUUGUAACUCACAUAUGCAACGUGAUUUUCACAUUAGAAACAGCGCUACGUUUAGCAACUUGUCCGUGCAAAGUAGAAUUUUUUCGAAGCUUUUUAAAUAUUGUUGAUAUCAUGUCUGUAGUUGGAUAUUUUGCGCACAUUAUAGUUAGUGCCUUACCAGAUUCAA
This 1523-nucleotide long non-coding RNA is filed under the name Mytilus galloprovincialis (Mediterranean mussel). Lineage: Eukaryota; Metazoa; Mollusca; Bivalvia; Mytilida; Mytilidae. The record is from RNAcentral.